CCUACGGGGGGCAGCAGUGGGGAAUAUUGCACAAUGGGGGAAACCCUGAUGCAGCGACGCCGCGUGAGUGAAGAAGUAAUUCGUUACGUAAAGCUCUAUCAGCAGGGAAGAAACACUGACCUUACGGUCAGCAGACGGUACCGGAGGAAGAAGCACCGGCUAACUACGUGCCAGCAGCCGCGGUAAUACGUAGGGGGCAAGCGUUAUCCGGAUUUAAUGGGUGGAAAGGGAGCGGAGACGGUGCGCCAAGGCUGGAGUGAAAUGCCGCCGCUUAACUGCGGAACUGCUUUGGAAACUGGCGACCUAGAGUGCGGGAGUGGUCAGCGCAAUUCCUAGUGUAGCGGUGAAAUGCGUAGAUAUUAGGAGGAACACCGGUGGCGAAGGCGGCUUACUGGACCGUAACUGACGUUGAGGCUCGAAAGCGUGGGGAGCAAACAGGAUUAGAUACCCUAGUAGUC
Molecule: ribosomal RNA, 458 nt
Filed under: uncultured bacterium
Lineage: Bacteria
Description: partial 16S ribosomal RNA
Rfam family: Bacterial small subunit ribosomal RNA
Source: RNAcentral